Non-coding RNA from Sesamum indicum (sesame), 1247 nucleotides. The record is from RefSeq and is a predicted model, not a curated record. Lineage: Eukaryota; Viridiplantae; Streptophyta; Magnoliopsida; Lamiales; Pedaliaceae.
AGUUCUACUAAGGCUGCCCUUGCUUAUUAUUUGGUUGAGAUAACCAACUAGCAGUCCUACCAUUUCCCUGAUCUUGUACGCACGUGGCAAUUAAUUUUCUCUCAACUAAAAUGAAAUGAGAUUCCUUCUUACAGAUAAUGCAUUGGUGCUCAUACUAUUCUCUCCUUUCUGUUGUUCUAUUUCUGUUAUUUCUUAAACUAGGGGAUGGUUUAACAUUAAAGAAGAAAGUGAGACCUGUGUUGAGAUUUUAGCUCAUCUGUCCAAUAAAGCCUGCUUCAAAGCCUCUGAGGCUGCAAGUGCAUUACCACCCAUGCUUGAAAUCCACCUACUCGAUAAAUGUGUUGCAUGGCCGAAAUGUUUCAGGGUCUCACCGCCUACAGCCGCUAGCAUUGCUCUAUAUUUCUUUCCAGCAUGUGAAAGGUGAUCGGUAGUUGAAUUUAGCAUGCUUUGUGGCAAUCUUUUUUUUUAACCUUACUGGCUUUGUUUUGAAGGGAUGAAAGACUUUUCGAUAUUCUACUUGAUGAGGUUAUCGAGAGAGAUCUUGCUCUGAAGACUCUGAUCGAUAAUCUGGAACUAUUAAUCUUUCCAUCUCUUGAAUUGCCUUUACAAAAUUGGAGAUACAAGAGCAAGUACUUUUUAUGGGGAGUGUUUAGCCAGAAGCAGCAGUCUCGUUCAUCUACAGAGACUACCUCUCCUAUUCAACAACACAGCAGCACCAAGCAUUCUCCACUUUCUGAGCCUACAGUUGAAGCAAACAACAAACUUUUGGUUCAUCUGGAAUCUACAGACCAUUUGAGUCCUCCAAGUCAACCUAACCAAAGUCCUAUGAGUCUGAACAGUAGCCAAGCAUCUAAUGUGCUCCCCUCUAAGCAUAGCACUCCAGAUUCCCUACCUUCUCCUUGCAUUGAGCUCAACAGGCUGUCUCAGAUGGUGGAACAAGAUCAUCGGCUGGUCACUAAGAACUGUAAGUGUGAAGAACAAAAUUUUGAAGGUUCAAGCAUCAAAUGUUGAUUCAAGACAAUAAGAAAAACACUGUUUGGCAGAAGUGGUGUAGCCACACUAUUCGGGACAUUCACAUAGGUUUGGGCCCCUCCACAUCGAAAGACUGCAACAAUUUAUCACUCUGUGCCAAGUUUUUGAAACCUCAAAAAGGUUUGUUUCAUAUCAUGUGUAUAAAUUUUUUGUUUGCCCAAAUAGUGUUGCUGGUCGGAUAGAUGUUCCCAUGCAUACAGGGUAGAUUUGCUUGU